GCGACCGAGAAGAGAGAGAAACUCAACUUGAAAU
RNAcentral lists this unclassified non-coding RNA (34 nucleotides) under Lactobacillus gasseri. RNAcentral describes it as "partial 16S-23S ribosomal RNA intergenic spacer". Lineage: Bacteria; Bacillati; Bacillota; Bacilli; Lactobacillales; Lactobacillaceae. The record is from RNAcentral.